This 85-nucleotide non-coding RNA is filed under the name unclassified sequences. The record is from RNAcentral.
GCUGUUUUGCCGCCGGGUAAAACAGCGGAGCGUCAGACUUUCUAUCAUUAGGUCUUUGAAGAUAGAAAGCUGGCGCUUUUUAUGA